This 497-nucleotide ribosomal RNA is filed under the name uncultured bacterium. Its description in RNAcentral is "partial 16S ribosomal RNA". It matches the Rfam family "Bacterial small subunit ribosomal RNA", at positions 28 to 507 of the family's 1533-position model. The record is from RNAcentral.
GAUGAACGCUGGCGGCGUGCCUAAUACAUGCAAGUCGAGCGAACGGACGAGAAGCUUGCUUCUCUGAUGUUAGCGGCGGACGGGUGAGUAACACGUGGAUAACCUACCUAUAAGACUGGGAUAACUUCGGGAAACCGGAGCUAAUACCGGAUAAUAUUUUGUACCGCAUGGUUCAAAAGUGAAAGACGGUCUUGCUGUCACUUAUAGAUGGAUCCGCGCUGCAUUAGCUAGUUGGUAAGGUAACGGCUUACCAAGGCAACGAUGCAUAGCCGACCUGAGAGGGUGAUCGGCCACACUGGAACUGAGACACGGUCCAGACUCCUACGGGAGGCAGCAGUAGGGAAUCUUCCGCAAUGGGCGAAAGCCUGACGGAGCAAUGCCGCGUGAGUGAUGAAGGUCUUCGGAUCGUAAAACUCUGUUAUUAGGGAAGAACAUAUGUGUAAGUAACUGUGCACAUCUUGACGGUACCUAAUCAGAAAGCCACGGCUAACUACGUG